AAGAGCACACGGGGAAUGCCUUGGCUCUCAGAGGCGAUGAAGGACGCGAUAAGCUGCGAUAAGCUACGGGUAUUGGCACAUACGAAUUGAUCCGUAGAUUUCCGAAUGGGGAAACCUAACUAACUGAAGGUUAGUUGCAAUAGCGCAA
Molecule: ribosomal RNA, 148 nt
Filed under: Beta vulgaris subsp. vulgaris (sugar beet)
Lineage: Eukaryota; Viridiplantae; Streptophyta; Magnoliopsida; Caryophyllales; Amaranthaceae
Description: rRNA 5_8S_rRNA
Rfam family: Bacterial large subunit ribosomal RNA
Source: RNAcentral